This 206-nucleotide ribosomal RNA is filed under the name uncultured bacterium. RNAcentral describes it as "partial 16S ribosomal RNA". It matches the Rfam family "Bacterial small subunit ribosomal RNA", at positions 568 to 774 of the family's 1533-position model. The record is from RNAcentral.
AGCGUAGGCGGACUUUUAGGUGAGAUGUGAAAUACCCGGGCUCAACUCGGGUGCUGCAUUUCAAACUGGAAGUCUAGAGUGCAGGAGAGGAGAAUGGAAUUCCUAGUGUAGCGGUGAAAUGCGUAGAGAUUAGGAAGAACACCAGUGGCGAAGGCGAUUCUCUGGACUAUAACUGACGCUGAGGCUCGAAAGCGUGGGAGCAAACA